UACGUAGGGGGCAAGCGUUAUCCGGAUUUACUGGGUGUAAAGGGAGCGUAGACGGCAAGGCAAGUCUGAAGUGAAAGCCCGGUGCUUAACGCCGGGACUGCUUUGGAAACUGUUUGGCUGGAGUGCCGGAGAGGUAAGCGGAAUUCCUAGUGUAGCGGUGAAAUGCGUAGAUAUUAGGAAGAACACCAGUGGCGAAAGCGGCUUACUGGACGGUAACUGACGUUGAGGCUCGAAAGCGUGGGGAGCAAACAGG
Molecule: ribosomal RNA, 253 nt
Filed under: Fusicatenibacter saccharivorans
Lineage: Bacteria; Bacillati; Bacillota; Clostridia; Lachnospirales; Lachnospiraceae
Description: partial 16S ribosomal RNA
Rfam family: Bacterial small subunit ribosomal RNA
Source: RNAcentral